CCUACGGGAGACAGCAGUGAGGAAUAUUGGUCAAUGGUCGCGAGCCUGAACCAGCCAAGUAGCGUGAAGGAUGACUGCCCUACGGAUUGUAAACUUCUUUUAUCAGGGAAUAAAGUGAGGCACGUGUGCCUGUUUGUGUGUACUUUAUGAAUAAGCAUCGGCUAACUCCGUGCCAGCAGCCGCGGUAAUACGGAGGAUCCGAGCGUUAUCCGGAUUUAUUGGGUUUAAAGGGAGCGUAGAUGGGUUGUUAAGUCAGUGGUGAAAGGUUGCGGAUCAACCGUAAAAUUGCAAUUGAUACUGGCAGUCUUGAGUACAGUUGAGGUAGGCGGAAUUCGUGGUGUAGCGGUGAAAUGCUUAGAUAGCACGAAGAACUCCGAUUGCGAAGGCAGCGUACUAAACUGCCACUGACAUUGAUGCUCGAAAGUGUGGGUAUCAAACAGGAUUAGAUACCCUAGUAGUC
RNAcentral lists this ribosomal RNA (460 nucleotides) under uncultured bacterium. RNAcentral describes it as "partial 16S ribosomal RNA". It matches the Rfam family "Bacterial small subunit ribosomal RNA", at positions 338 to 795 of the family's 1533-position model. The record is from RNAcentral.